Molecule: RNA transcript, 1345 nt
Organism: Beta vulgaris subsp. vulgaris (sugar beet)
Lineage: Eukaryota; Viridiplantae; Streptophyta; Magnoliopsida; Caryophyllales; Amaranthaceae
Exons: 10
Source: RefSeq, a predicted model, not a curated record
UAAUGUCAGUUUCAAUACUUACUUCGGACGUCCCAAGCUUCCAUUCAUCCCCUCCAUUUCCCUUUUAGAAACCAACAUGAACAUUAAAGUGUUCUUUAACUUCACAAUUAAUGGCUUUCGAAUAUUCCUUGCUUCUAAUCCACUCUUAUUAUUGCUGUUGGAGAAUACGAAAAAAUCAAUGGAGUUCAAAGGUCGGAUUUCAGAGGGCAACAUCAUAAAGAGGAUUUUUGCAAGUAAUAACUUUGCAAGGAAUUGUGUCAUUGUUCCAAAUCAAUAUCGACUCCAUAUAACACAAAGAAAUUAAGGUCUACAAGAGUGAUAUAGUUGAUUGGAUGUAUCCCAAAGCUUUGUACAAGUUGGUUUCCCUUCAAUCAAUAGAAGUCUGCAGUUACAAUGACACCAAACUUUUAGAUAUUUUGGGGAUUGUCGUACAUGCAGGUAAAGCUUUUGUUUGUAACGAUGACGCAACCCGUAUGCAAGAGGUUGUUGUUCUAGAUAGAAGCUGUGUUGCUGUUAGAUUGAUUCUUAUGAACCAAUUUGUUAGUGAAUAUGAACACGAGGUUCUACAAAGUGGUGGGCGGUACAACACAUUAUUGGCUUGUGGGGUGUAUGUUAGGAAAAUGAAUGCUUAUUUUCUAAUCACAGGAAGAUACACAAGGUUAUUUAUCAAUCCAGAUAAUGUAGAUGCAUCAACUCUAUUGGAUUGGUUUGUCUGUGAUUAUUUUGCCAAGAGGAAGAUGAAGUGGUUUAAUAAUUGUGGACUAUCAAUAAAUCGGGCAUUGUCAACUUCAAAUGCAUUUCGGACUACUAUAGCGAGCUACAAAUGAAAAAGAAAAGGAAAGCACUACAGAAUGGUUGGGAGAUUAAUUGAUAUCGAUGUUGAUAGUUUUGCAUGGUAUGAUGCUUGCACAUUUUGUGGACUUGAUAUACAACAUGUUAGUGAGCAUAUCAUUUGUAGUAAUUGUAACAAAGAAAAGCCUCCAACAACUAUUAGUGGUUCUGGAUAUAUGACUAUACUCGACUCCACCGGUACAAUGCGUGUCAAGCUCUUAACAAAAUAGAUUGAGUUUAUACUCCAUUCAACUAAAGCAAACUUGAAGCAAAUGUUUGAUGCGGUGCAUGAUAGAGUUUUGCUACGAUCCAAGCUUCUUACACUUAUGCGCAAUGCAUAUAUUUUCGUAUUUAAUCCUCUUCAUCUAUCGACUUAUAUAGUAGACUAUGUAACUUAUGCCGAGUGGGCAGAAAAAUGUGCAUAUUUGUUUAAGUAAUUACUAUAUCAUCUUUCAUUAGAUUUUCUUUGUUGAUGGCCAUAUUAAUAAUCUUUCUAUAUUUAAAUUUUUUAUCU